RNAcentral lists this ribosomal RNA (446 nucleotides) under uncultured bacterium. RNAcentral's name for it is "partial 16S ribosomal RNA". It matches the Rfam family "Bacterial small subunit ribosomal RNA", at positions 338 to 795 of the family's 1533-position model. The record is from RNAcentral.
CCUACGGGUGGCAGCAGUCGAGAAUCAUUCACAAUGGGGGAAACCCUGAUGGUGCGACGCCGCGUGGGGGAAUGAAGGUCUUCGGAUUGUAAACCCCUGUCAUGUGGGAGCAAAUUAAAAAGAUAGUACCACAAGAGGAAGAGACGGCUAACUCUGUGCCAGCAGCCGCGGUAAUACAGAGGUCUCAAGCGUUGUUCGGAAUCACUUGGCGUAAAGCGUGCGUAGGCUGUUUCGUAAGUCGUGUGUGAAAGGCGCGGGCUCAACCCGCGGACGGCACAUGAUACUGGGAGACUAGAGUAAGGGAGGGGGAACCGGAAGUCGCGGUGGAGCAGUGAAAUGCGUAGAUAUCGAGAGGAACACUCGUGGCGAAGGCGGGUUCCUGGACAUUAACUGACGCUGAGGCACGAAGGCCAGGGGAGCGAAAGGGAUUAGAUACCCCAGUAGUC